RNAcentral lists this transfer RNA (77 nucleotides) under Actinokineospora bangkokensis. RNAcentral describes it as "tRNA-Pro". It matches the Rfam family "tRNA". From Rfam's summary of the family: Transfer RNA (tRNA) molecules are approximately 80 nucleotides in length. Their secondary structure includes four short double-helical elements and three loops (D, anti-codon, and T loops). The record is from RNAcentral. Lineage: Bacteria; Bacillati; Actinomycetota; Actinomycetes; Pseudonocardiales; Pseudonocardiaceae.
CGGGCUGUGGCGCAGCUUGGUAGCGCAUCCGCUUUGGGAGCGGAGGGUCGCAGGUUCAAAUCCUGUCAGCCCGACCG